Molecule: ribosomal RNA, 328 nt
Filed under: uncultured bacterium
Lineage: Bacteria
Description: bacterial SSU rRNA
Rfam family: Bacterial small subunit ribosomal RNA
Source: RNAcentral
CGUAGGUGGUAGUGUAAGUCUGGGGUGGAAUGCCGGGGCUUAACCCUGGAAUUGCCUUGGAAACUGCAUUACUUGAGUCAGUGAGGGGAGGGUAGAAUUCCUGGUGUAGCGGUGAAAUGCGUAGAUAUCAGGAGGAAGGCCUGUGGCGAAGGCGGCCCUCUGGUGCUGGACUGACACUGAGGCGCGAAAGCGUGGGGAGCAAACAGGAUUAGAUACCCUGGUAGUCCACGCCCUAAACGGUGGGCACUAGGUGUAGGGCUCGUAAGGGUUCUGUGCCGAAGGGAAACCAUUAAGUGCCCCGCCUGGGGAGUACGGCCGCAAGGUUGAA